CACAUACUUGCUGUUUUGGGGCCAUAGAUUUGAAAUGUGUCCUCUUAGUGCCUGUGACAUACACGUGCGUCAUUGCUGUGCAGGAGGCAGGGGAAUGGGGGGCCAGGGAGUGGGGAGCUGGAGUCACAGGACCCAAAGUGACAGGUGCAUGGAGGAAUGAGCUUUUUAUUUAUUCAUUACUUUCAUGUCCCCAUGCAGCAGUCACAGAAAAAAAAAACAUGGUGUUGAAAGGCUCAGGGUGCUCGCCCACAUCAGUGAGGGAGGUGCAGCUGAUGAAGGAAGUGCUGGGUGCAGAAGGGGAUGCUCUGAAAUGGUGGCUUCUGUUUGCAGUUUCAAAGCUCAGGCUAACAGUUUUGCUGAUGAAGACCAGCUGCCACCUCUUCCACCAAGAGGGAAAUGUCUGUUGAGUGGAUGGAGUCCACCAUGAGCAGGUCUGAAGCAGGAGGCGGCAGCGGGAGGCUGAUUCUCACCAUUGCUCACUGGACUCAAUUAUCUGCUUCAGAAUAUGAAUGAUGUGCUUCCUACACAGAAUGAAAACGCUGCAUGCGAUUGCAUGACUUGUGAGUAAACAUCACGAAACCAGAGUUUAGAAAUGAAAAAUGCUCCAGGC
Molecule: long non-coding RNA, 610 nt
Filed under: Homo sapiens (human)
Lineage: Eukaryota; Metazoa; Chordata; Mammalia; Primates; Hominidae
Description: non-protein coding lnc-SNTG2-2:2
Source: RNAcentral